AAGAACUGUAGCAGUGUGAAAUAAUAAGGUUUUAGCGAAGAUAUAUGUGUUUGGGAAGUAUUGAGCAUUUGACUGGAUAAAUAACACUUGUAUUUUACUGCACGAGUUGUGUGAGAGUUUGUAAACAGAUUAUUUUAUACAGUUUCGCUGUUGGUAACUACAUCCCACAUUUACUUCAAUUCAUCAAGAAUUUAUUGCCGUUUUUAGAUUCUCCGUUUACCGUGGAGGCAAUGCGAGAAAAACAACGUUUUAUUCAAGAAUUCAAGGAUAAUUCAGGAUUUGCUUUUUCUGUUGGUCCAUCCUUCAAGAGUCUCCUGGAGCUGAGUCACGUUGUGUCUAUCGAUCAGCCGGCCAGACGAGAGCGCUUCUUAGAGACAUGCUGCAUGACGCCUUCUGUUUGAUAUUAGGGGUCACAGCCACUGAAUUAACCAACAUACAAUUCUUGUUCAAUCUGGAUAGUUUUUCCCAAACUGAUUCAUGCAUUUUGUUUGUACGCUGUUGUCCAAAAGUUUCUUUGUCAGAUAAAUUACACUUUUUAUAUUUUUAACAGUAGAUGGUCAUGUGGGCUGAGAUCUUAUCACACCAUGUUGAGUCCUCUGUGGCUUGAGCACAGCAUAGAAAAUGCACAUAUACUGUAAAGGAUGCAAUAUAAAGAAUCAUUAAAUGAGCUUAAGCCUGGUUUAUUCAUCUAUAAUGUAUUACUAAUGGAGGGCAAAGUGAUAAUAUCCUGUACCAGGACUGCUUAAACAGUUUUCAUGUUUAAGAUUUGAGUAGAAUGUAAAUUUUUGUGUUUCUUUCUCUACGGUCACGACUUUUUGUUUUACUCGAUCUGAGUCACCAUUUGCCGUCACAGGUUUCACAGUAUUAAGACAACUGCUUUGGCUUAUCGUAUUAGCAAUGACAUCAUUCCUGCUGCCUUCAUUCGUUCGAAUUUGGAACAAAAUGUAAGGUCUUGGUUUCUCCUCAAAUGUUAUUAUCUUGAAAAUUCUAUUAUAGUAUCCGGCGAGGUUAAAGCAGACAACUAAUACUUUUCUUUUCAAUGACAAAGAACAUCAGGUGCAACGUAUGAGCCUACGUGCCAUUUAUCAGUGUGCGUGUGUGUAUUUUACUGGCAGAGAGACUGUAUCUCAUCCUUACUAACAUUUAAUAUUGCAACAAAUCUUUCUUUAGAAGAAAAAUAAAUUCUG
Molecule: long non-coding RNA, 1187 nt
Organism: Cottoperca gobio
Lineage: Eukaryota; Metazoa; Chordata; Actinopteri; Perciformes; Bovichtidae
Exons: 2
Source: RefSeq, a predicted model, not a curated record